This 29-nucleotide non-coding RNA is filed under the name Mus musculus (house mouse). Lineage: Eukaryota; Metazoa; Chordata; Mammalia; Rodentia; Muridae. The record is from RNAcentral.
UACAUGUGUGUGUUUCACAGUCUGAUGUA